UAUUAAUUUAUUUUUCUGGGCCUCAAUGUGCAGAGUAGGGUUAAAGGUCGCGAACUAGCAUGCGUCUACACCUGCCUGAGCAUAUUCCUGGCACAGGAGAAAGAGGACGACGGAACUCCGUGCUGGUUACUGAUCCGGCCCGGGACAUGCAAAGAUGGCCUAUGCGUGUGAUGAAGAGUGAUACGGCUAACAGAAGAGACAUGGCAACACGGCACAUCGACGCAGGCUGUGACGCAGUUCUUCCAGAACACAUAUCGUUUCCAGAAGUUCAUCAUGAAGCGCCUGGCAGCGUCAAUCAGUUUGGGCUCCUUUUAGUCAAUAAAUAUGUCAGCCUCUAUUGCA
This is a non-coding RNA of Dermacentor albipictus, 342 nucleotides long. NCBI's taxonomy places the organism in Eukaryota, Metazoa, Arthropoda, Arachnida, Ixodida, Ixodidae. The record is from RefSeq and is a predicted model, not a curated record.